RNAcentral lists this unclassified non-coding RNA (211 nucleotides) under Crepidotus subverrucisporus. Its description in RNAcentral is "partial internal transcribed spacer 2". Lineage: Eukaryota; Fungi; Basidiomycota; Agaricomycetes; Agaricales; Crepidotaceae. The record is from RNAcentral.
AAUUCUCAACCUUACCAGCUUUGCUGCUGGUAUGGCUUGGAUGUGGGGGUUUUUGCAGGCUUUCACAAGUCAGCUCCCCUGAAAUGUAUUAGCGGUACCCUUGUGGUAAACGGCUAUUGGUGUGAUAAUUAUCUACGCCAUUUGGUCGCCCACAUAUUAAAAGGGUUAUGCUGCUUCUAACCGUCCAUUGACUUGGACAAUACAAUGACAA